Molecule: ribosomal RNA, 500 nt
Filed under: uncultured eukaryote
Lineage: Eukaryota
Description: SSU rRNA
Rfam family: Eukaryotic small subunit ribosomal RNA
Source: RNAcentral
UUUGUCUAGAUAGCCAUGCACGUCUAAGUACAAACUAAAUGAUGGUGAAACUGCAAAUGGCUCAUUACAACGGUUAUGAUGUACCCGGGAGUUCCGAUGGAUAUUUCCAGUAACACUAGAACUAAUACAUGUCCCUGCGUUUAUUAGUUUCGCACAGUCCGUCGCUGAGUCAUGGUAAACAGUUGAUCGACUCGACGUCCCGGAACAGCUUCCGCCCCAUCAGCUUCGAUGGUUGGGUAUUGGCCUACCAUUGCAACAACGGGUAACGAGGAAUUAGGGUUUGAUUUCGGAGAGGGAGCCUGAGAAACGGCUACCACAUCUACGGAUGGCAGCAGGCGCGCAAAUUACCCAAUGCAGACACUGUGAGGUAGUGACGAGAAAUAAUAAAGCGGGACUUCUGUUUCGCUAUUAUAAUGAGGAAUAACCAAAGGUCAUUCCGAUUAGCAACUGAUGGGAAAGUCUGGUGCCAGCAGCCGCGGUAAUACCAGCGUCAGUAGCAU